This 253-nucleotide ribosomal RNA is filed under the name uncultured bacterium. RNAcentral's name for it is "partial 16S ribosomal RNA". It matches the Rfam family "Bacterial small subunit ribosomal RNA", at positions 524 to 776 of the family's 1533-position model. The record is from RNAcentral.
UACGUAGGGCGCAAGCGUUAUCCGGAAUUAUUGGGCGUAAAGAGCUCGUAGGCGGUUUGUCGCGUCUGCCGUGAAAGUCCGGGGCUCAACUCCGGAUCUGCGGUGGGUACGGGCAGACUAGAGUGAUGUAGGGGAGACUGGAAUUCCUGGUGUAGCGGUGAAAUGCGCAGAUAUCAGGAGGAACACCGGUGGCGAAGGCGGGUAUCUGGGCCGAUACUGACGCUGAGGAGCGAAAGCGUGGGGAGCGAACAGG